This 144-nucleotide ribosomal RNA is filed under the name uncultured eukaryote. Its description in RNAcentral is "partial 18S ribosomal RNA". It matches the Rfam family "Eukaryotic small subunit ribosomal RNA", at positions 1299 to 1458 of the family's 1831-position model. The record is from RNAcentral.
UGGUGGAGUGAUUUGUCUGGUUAAUUCCGAUAACGAACGAGACCGUAGCCUCUAAAUAGUUUUUCCAAUUUUUCACGGGAUUGGCAAAAACUUCUUAGGGGGACUCCCGGCUUUCAGCCGUGGGGAAGGUGUGCGGCAAUAACA